AUUGGCUGGGGCAGGACAAGGGCUAGGAUU
This 30-nucleotide non-coding RNA is filed under the name Cricetulus griseus (Chinese hamster). The record is from RNAcentral. Lineage: Eukaryota; Metazoa; Chordata; Mammalia; Rodentia; Cricetidae.